Molecule: ribosomal RNA, 176 nt
Filed under: Boehmeria clidemioides var. diffusa
Lineage: Eukaryota; Viridiplantae; Streptophyta; Magnoliopsida; Rosales; Urticaceae
Description: 5.8S ribosomal RNA
Rfam family: 5.8S ribosomal RNA (bases 23-176)
About the family: 5.8S ribosomal RNA (5.8S rRNA) is a component of the large subunit of the eukaryotic ribosome. It is transcribed by RNA polymerase I as part of the 45S precursor that also contains 18S and 28S rRNA.
Source: RNAcentral
UACUUUAACAGAGCGUCGCAAUGACUCUCGGCAACGGAUAUCUCGGCUCUCGCAUCGAUGAAGAACGUAGCGAAAUGCGAUACUUGGUGUGAAUUGCAGAAUCCCGUGAACCAUCGAGUCUUUGAACGCAAGUUGCGCCCGAAGCCUUUCGGCCGAAGGCACGUCUGCCUGGGCGU